CCUACGGGGUGCAGCAGUGGGGAAUAUUGGACAAUGGGGGGAACCCUGAUCCAGCGACGCCGCGUGAGUGAAGAAGUAUUUCGGUAUGUAAAGCUCUAUCAGCAGGGAAGAAAAUGACGGUACCUGACUAAGAAGCCCCGGCUAACUACGUGCCAGCAGCCGCGGUAAUACGUAGGGGGCAAGCGUUAUCCGGAUUUACUGGGUGUAAAGGGAGCGUAGACGGUGCAGCAAGUCUGAUGUGAAAGGUCGGGGCCCAACCCCGGGACUGCAUUGGAAACUGUUGAACUGGAGUACAGGAGAGGUAGGCGGAAUUCCUGGUGUAGCGGUGGAAUGCGUAGAUAUUAGGAAGAACACCAGAGGCGAAGGCGGCUAACUGGACUGCAACUGACGCUGAGGCACGAAAGUGUGGGGAGCAAACAGGAUUAGAUACCCGGGUAGUC
RNAcentral lists this ribosomal RNA (440 nucleotides) under uncultured bacterium. RNAcentral's name for it is "partial 16S ribosomal RNA". It matches the Rfam family "Bacterial small subunit ribosomal RNA", at positions 338 to 795 of the family's 1533-position model. The record is from RNAcentral.